RNAcentral lists this ribosomal RNA (292 nucleotides) under uncultured bacterium. RNAcentral describes it as "partial 16S ribosomal RNA". It matches the Rfam family "Bacterial small subunit ribosomal RNA", at positions 505 to 796 of the family's 1533-position model. The record is from RNAcentral.
GUGUCAGCAGCCGCGGUAACACGGGGGGAGCAAGCGUUGUUCGGAAUCACUGGGCGUAAAGGGCGUGUAGGCGGCUCAGUAAGUGGGAUGUGAAAUGCCCCGGCUCACCCGGGGACCUGCAUCCCAAACUGCUGGGCUUGAGUAUGGGAGAGGAUGAGGGAAUUCCUGGUGUAGCGGUGAAAUGCGUAGAUAUCAGGAGGAACACCGGUGGCGAAAGCGCUCAUCUGGCCCAAUACUGACGCUGAGGCGCGAAAGCUAGGGGAGCAAACGGGAUUAGAUACCCCUGUAGUCC